UGGGGAAUAUUGCACAAUGGGCGAAAGCCUGAUGCAGCAACGCCGCGUGAGUGAUGAAGGCCUUCGGGUUGUAAAGCUCUGUCUUUUGGGACGAUAAUGACGGUACCAAAGGAGGAAGCCACGGCUAACUACGUGCCAGCAGCCGCGGUAAUACGUAGGUGGCAAGCGUUGUCCGGAUUUACUGGGCGUAAAGGAUGCGUAGGCGGAUUUUUAAGUGAGAUGUGAAAACCCUAAGCUUAACUUGGGGACUGCAUUUCAUACUGGAAAUCUAGAGUGCGGGAGAGGAGAAUGGAAUUCCUAGUGUAGCGGUGAAAUGCGUAGAGAUUAGGAAGAACACCAGUGGCGAAGGCGAUUCUCUGGACCGUAACUGACGCUGAGGCAUGAAAAGCGUGGGUAGCAAACAAGAUUAGAUACCCUGGUAGUCCACGCCGUAAACGAUGAGUACUAGGUGUAGGAGGUAUCGACCCCUUCUGUGCCGCAGUUAACACAAUAAGUACUCCGCCUGGGAAGUACGAUCGCAAGAUUAAAACUCAAAGGAAUUGACGGGGUCAUAGCUGUUUCCU
RNAcentral lists this ribosomal RNA (563 nucleotides) under uncultured bacterium. RNAcentral describes it as "partial 16S ribosomal RNA". It matches the Rfam family "Bacterial small subunit ribosomal RNA", at positions 355 to 1375 of the family's 1533-position model. The record is from RNAcentral.